This 367-nucleotide ribosomal RNA is filed under the name uncultured bacterium. RNAcentral describes it as "bacterial SSU rRNA". It matches the Rfam family "Bacterial small subunit ribosomal RNA", at positions 527 to 896 of the family's 1533-position model. The record is from RNAcentral.
GGAGGAUCCAAGCGUUAUCCGGAUUUAUUGGGUUUAAAGGGUGCGUAGGCGGCUUAUUAAGUCAGGGGUGAAAGACGGUGGCUCAACCAUCGCGGUGCCCUUGAUACUGAUGAGCUUGAAUGAACUAGAGGUAGGCGGAAUGUGACAAGUAGCGGUGAAAUGCAUAGAUAUGUCACAGAACACCGAUUGCGAAGGCAGCUUACUAUGGUUUUAUUGACGCUGAGGCACGAAAGCGUGGGGAUCAAACAGGAUUAGAUACCCUGGUAGUCCACGCCCUAAACGAUGAAUACUCGCUGUUAGCGAUAUACAGUUAGCGGCUAAGCGAAAGCGUUAAGUAUUCCACCUGGGGAGUACGCCCGCAAGGGUG